Molecule: ribosomal RNA, 253 nt
Filed under: uncultured bacterium
Lineage: Bacteria
Description: partial 16S ribosomal RNA
Rfam family: Bacterial small subunit ribosomal RNA
Source: RNAcentral
UACGGAGGGUGCGAGCGUUAUCCGGAUUUACUGGGCUUAAAGGGUGUGUAGGCGGGCUGGUAAGUCAGGGGUGAAAUCCCGGAGCUCAACUCCGGAACUGCCUUUGAUACUACUGGUCUUGAAUAUUGUUGAGGUGGGCGGAAUGUGUCAUGUAGCGGUGAAAUGCAUAGAUAUGACACAGAACAUCGAUUGCGAAGGCAGCUCACUGGGCAAUGAUUGACGCUGAGGCACGAAAGCGUGGGGAUCAAACAGG